Molecule: long non-coding RNA, 2165 nt
Filed under: Cricetulus griseus (Chinese hamster)
Lineage: Eukaryota; Metazoa; Chordata; Mammalia; Rodentia; Cricetidae
Description: lncRNA (ENSCGRG00015033717.1)
Source: RNAcentral
CAUUAUUCCUGGGCUUAAAGAAGUUAAAAGCGAGCCCGUUGUGGUGGUCCAUGUCUUUAAUCCCUGGACACUGGAAGCAGAGGCAGCUGGAUCUCUGUCUUCCGAUUUGGCCUAACACACAGAAAGAAUUCCUGGACAGUAAGUUUUUGCAAAAUAAUGAAAGACCCUCAGGUCCCUAAGGGGCAUAGGGUCCCGAGGAGCCCCCGAGACUCAGAAAUCAGACCAAGAGCUGUAAAAGCAAGAGGGUUUAUUGAAAGAAUGCGCAUUCGGGUGUCAGCAAUAUCGGGAAAGCUGCACAUCCCAGCAUGGGGUGCAAGCUCCUUAUAUAGGAAACAAACAAACAAACAAACAAACAAACAAAAAAAGCCGCAGAUUAGUAUACAGGCAAGGGGCAUAAAGUGAAAGAUUACAAAGUAUGAUCUCAUGUUUGAGUGGUCACCCAGGUGUGACCUGUGUUUCUACAAAGGAAAAACCAUAGAACGUACCCUGAAAAGUCCUUGAUUGUCUGUUGGCCAGCCAGGUGUGACCCAAAGAGGUUUGUCUUGGCGAUUGCCCCUGUCUAAACCAUAGGAUGUGCCCGGGGUUGGGGGCAACUUCCUGGUAAUGGGCCACGGCCUGUGGGAAAAACUUUCUUUUUCUCUCUGUGAACUUUAAGAUCUUUUAAAACUUUUUUUUUCUCAAUAAACUAAAAUCUUUUAGUCCCCAAUUUUUUUUUUUUUUUUUUUUUUUGUUGUUGUUGUUGUUGUUGUUGUUGUUGUUGUAGUUGUUUUUGUAGUUGUUGUUGUUGUUGUGAGGUUUUAAUCUUAAAACCUAUGGUCCUUCUUAUUGCCUGAGAGCCAACUGCCUGCUGUUCAGUCGCAAGCUCAAGUUUUUUGGGUUUACUUUGAUUAUCAUCUAAAUAUAAACUUAAGGGGCUUUUCAUCGGGCCAGAGGCACCUCUGUCCAAUCUAUGCCUGACUCUCUGGACAGAGGAGAAAUAUGCAGGCUUCUAGCCCAAAUCUAUAGUUUUUGUUAAAACUCAAAGAUAUAAAUAUAUUUCUGCCGUUCUACAAAUACCAUAUAUAUAUAGCUUUUUCUGCAAUGCAGAUUUCAAUACAGCUUGGUAAUGAUAAAAUAUCUAAAACUUCUAUGUCCUAUUAUAUAAUAAAGUUCAUAUAGGUUUCAGAGGAUCAAAAGUCAUAAAGCUUGGAUCCACUUCUCACAGGUAAAAAGGACUCCAGAUAAGUACAACAUUUAUUAUCCCAUCUAUUUGCUCCCAAGGAUAGGAAUUUCUCCCUGAUCUUGGAACUCCUGUCCUUCUUGACCACUAAAAAUAUAGGCCUAAAAAUUACAAUAAGAAAAAUAAAAUUUAACUUCUGUUCCCAGUUUAAACGUGUCUCAACAGAUUUCCAAUUCUGACAGAUGAGUAUCAGUUGCUGACUACAGCCUGCUCCUAAAGACUGUGAGCCCUACACUUGCUAUGGAUGUAAACCAGUCCAAUCGAUAUGGACACCCUUUAUCUCUACAACAGAAUCUGCCAACCAAAAAAAAACUUUUUCUCUCUAUGAACUAAAAUCUUUUAAAACUUUUUUUUUCUCGAUAAACUAAAAUCUUUUAAUACAUUGAGAAACACUGUCUCAAAUAAAAUAUUAAAGAAACCUGGCCUGAAGCCCAGGGCUUACUCCUUCCCUCAUAAUUCAGAUUCCCAGCACUGCUGUUCAUUUUUGUUUGUUUGUUUGUUUGAGCCCUACACUUGCUAUGGAUGUAAACCAGUCCAAUCGAUAUGGACACCCUUUAUCUCUACAACAGAAUCUGCCAACCAAAAAAAACUUUUUCUCUCUAUGAACUAAAAUCUUUUAAAACUUUUUUUUCUUGAUAAACUAAAAUCUUUUAAUACAUUGAGAAACACUGUCUCAAAUAAAAUAUUAAAGAAACCUGGCCUGAAGCCCAGGGCUUACUCCUUCCCUCAUAAUUCAGAUUCCCAGCACUGCUGUUCAUUUUUGUUUGUUUGUUUGUUUGUUUGAUUGAUUUCAAGUGAAUUGUAGUAUGUUCAUGACUAUGUAUUUAAUUUUAUGUUUUUUAUUGUUGUUUUGUUUUUGUUUUUGAGAGAGGGGGGGCGCGAGAGAGAGAGAGCAGUCUGCCUCUGCCUCCCAAGGUUGGGAUGAAAAGCAUAUAUCACCACCUAC